AGAGUUUGAUCAUGGCUCAGGACGAACGCUGGCGGCGUGCUUAACACAUGCAAGUCGAACGGUGAUGGCCAGCUUGCUGGUCUGAUCAGUGGCGAACGGGUGAGUAACACGUGAGCAACCUGCCCUUCACUCUGGGAUAACCACGGGAAACGGUGGCUAAUACCGGAUAUGAGACGUACACGCAUGUGUCGCGUCUGGAAAGAUUUAUCGGUGAAGGAUGGGCUCGCGGCCUAUCAGCUUGUUGGUGGGGUAGUGGCCCACCAAGGCGACGACGGGUAGCCGGCCUGAGAGGGCGACCGGCCACACUGGGACUGAGACACGGCCCAGACUCCUACGGGAGGCAGCAGUGGGGAAUAUUGCACAAUGGGCGCAAGCCUGAUGCAGCGACGCCGCGUGAGGGAUGACGGCCUUCGGGUUGUAAACCUCUUUCAGCAGGGAAGAAGCGAAAGUGACGGUACCUGCAGAAGAAGCGCCGGCUAACUACGUGCCAGCAGCCGCGGUAAUACGUAGGGCGCAAGCGUUGUCCGGAAUUAUUGGGCGUAAAGAGCUCGUAGGCGGUUUGUCGCGUCUGCUGUGAAAACCUAAGGCUCAACCUUGGGCUUGCAGUGGGUACGGGCAGACUAGAGUGCGGUAGGGGUGACUGGAAUUCCUGGUGUAGCGGUGGAAUGCGCAGAUAUCAGGAGGAACACCGAUGGCGAAGGCAGGUCACUGGGCCGCAACUGACGCUGAGGAGCGAAAGCAUGGGGAGCGAACAGGAUUAGAUACCCUAGUAGUCC
This 776-nucleotide ribosomal RNA is filed under the name uncultured bacterium. RNAcentral's name for it is "bacterial SSU rRNA". It matches the Rfam family "Bacterial small subunit ribosomal RNA", at positions 8 to 796 of the family's 1533-position model. The record is from RNAcentral.